This 216-nucleotide ribosomal RNA is filed under the name Staphylococcus epidermidis. RNAcentral's name for it is "partial 23S ribosomal RNA". It matches the Rfam family "Bacterial large subunit ribosomal RNA", at positions 2710 to 2925 of the family's 2925-position model. Lineage: Bacteria; Bacillati; Bacillota; Bacilli; Caryophanales; Staphylococcaceae. The record is from RNAcentral.
UGGUGUACCAGUUGUCGUGCCAACGGCAUAGCUGGGUAGCUAUGUAUGGACGGGAUAAGUGCUGAAAGCAUCUAAGCAUGAAGCCCCCCUCAAGAUGAGAUUUCCCAACUUCGGUUAUAAGAUCCCUCGAAGAUGACGAGGUUAAUAGGUUCGAGGUGGAAGCGUGGUGACACGUGGAGCUGACGAAUACUAAUCGAUCGAAGACUUAAUCAAAUU